Molecule: ribosomal RNA, 228 nt
Filed under: Triticum aestivum (bread wheat)
Lineage: Eukaryota; Viridiplantae; Streptophyta; Magnoliopsida; Poales; Poaceae
Description: partial small subunit ribosomal RNA
Source: RNAcentral
AUGGACCAUUCCAUCCCUUUUUACCGUGCAUAUGCAUCGGACUCAGAUGACGAUGGUCCCGAUGAACAAGUUGAUGCGGAGGGGUUCACGGUGAAGGAGGCCGAAGCUUUCGAGAAGGUAUUUGGUCGGGAUCAUCGGACUACAUUGUUCAAGGAUGUUAGUCUCGCGGAUGAAGCCGUGGUAGAUGGUGGCCAAUGUGUAGCUCUUGGGGUUAGGCCAAGCUCUCAC